ACUUAAACCCAAUUAUAAAUGGCUUUGGCUAUAAAGUGUUCUUGAAUGAAAACGUUUAGGAAGUAGGCCUGGAUUCAGAUGCUUCGGAGGCUCAAAGGUUUUCUAAUUGUUUAUGAAGAAGAUUGAUCUUCACAAGCUAGUUUUUUCAUAGGCAAAAGCAAAAGUCUCUUCCUGUGUUAUUAAGUGAAAAUGGCUGAUUAUAAAAAGGGGCUUACAAACAAUAUUUAACAAAUCUUCAUCAAGUCCCUACUCUGUGGCAGGCCCUGGGUCAGGAGGUUGCCGAUUCCAGGAAGAAUCAGACCUUAUCCCUGCCCUUGAGUCUCAAGAAGAGAAAAGGAAAACAAAUAAGCAUAGUACAGUGUGAAAAGUGGGACUGUGGUCCAAUUUCAGUCUGCAAACUCAGAAUGGAUGAAAUAUGAAAGACUGACAACAUUAAGUGUAGGACAGGAUGUGGAGCCACUGGGACUCAUACGUGACUGAUGGGAAUGCAAAAUGAUACCGAUCCCUUGGAAAACUCCUUGGCAACUUUAAUAAACAUAAAUCUACCCUAUGAUCCAGAAAUUCCACUCUGAGUCACGUCUCCAAGAGCAAUGAAAAUAUAUACCCACAAAAGACUGUACAUAAAUCAGAACAGCAUUGUUGAUAAUAGCCCAAACUGGAAACAACCUAAAUAUUCACCAAUAGAAGCCUGAAUAAAUUCAUACUGUGGGAUACUCUACAGCAGUGAGGUAGAUGAACUAUUACUGCCUACAACAACAUGAAAGAAAGUAAAAAUCACUACUUUGAUAAUUAUAAACACAAAAAAGUAAACAUAUCAUUCUAUUCAUAUGAAGAGUUAUCUAAAUAAUUAGUAAAAUUGAUCUAUGAUUUUAGAAGUGGUUACCUCUGGAGGAGAAGGAGGGGUACUGUUACUGACUGAGAAGGGAGUUCUGGAAAAAUUCUAUACUUUGAUCUUUGGGAUGGUUACACAGAUGUAUAGACAGGCAAAAAUUCAUUGAACUUUACAUUUAAUAUUUGUACAUUUUACCAUAUGCAAAUUGUCCCUCAAUUUAAAAAAUCUCAUUUUCCUUAAAAAAACACAGAGGCAAACAUUUCAAAAACAAUAUCUCACCUUAGAUGAGAUAUAGAGGCAAGCAGGCAGCCCUACUAUGAGAGCCUGGAAAAGGCAUUAGACACACUGUGUGUGGGGUGCAGUAGGGACAGAGAGACACUCAAGGAGGGUUUCUUGUGGGAGGUGACAGCUAAACAUUGAAGGACCUGUACUGAAAGUCAAGCAAAGAGAAGGCUAAGGGCAUUCCAGGCUCAAGGAACAGCAUGCAAGGGCACUCAUAGCAUCCCAAGAGAAGUUGACUGAGAGAAGGAGGGUGUGGGGAAGGGACAAACGACGAAGCCACAGAUGUCAAUGGGAGUCAGAUCUGACAGCCUCACAAGCCAAAGGGAGGCCCAAGGGAGGCCCCACAGAGUUGUGAUUGGAGUUGGACUUUAAGGAGGCCACUCUGGAGGAAGGGAGGAAGGCAGUUUAGAGGUGGUUGCAGUAAUCCACAGAUGGGGCAUGUGGCCUGAACUAGCGCAGCGGCCAUGGGGAUUGGGGCUGGGAGAAGAGCUUCCAGAGAUACUUGGAGGAAGACUUUGGUAACCAGCAGUAUAGCGGGACAGGAGAGGAAAUCGUUAAGGAAACUCAUGGGUUCUUGCCUUUCAUGGCAAGGUGGAGCUAUUUACUGAGAAAAAGAUAGGAAGAGCUACAUUUAUUUAUUUAUUUAUUAUAUAUUUUUUGGGAUGGACUCUCACUCUGUCA
Molecule: long non-coding RNA, 1795 nt
Organism: Pan troglodytes (chimpanzee)
Lineage: Eukaryota; Metazoa; Chordata; Mammalia; Primates; Hominidae
Exons: 4
Source: RefSeq, a predicted model, not a curated record